Molecule: ribosomal RNA, 451 nt
Filed under: uncultured bacterium
Lineage: Bacteria
Description: bacterial SSU rRNA
Rfam family: Bacterial small subunit ribosomal RNA
Source: RNAcentral
UAUCCAGACUCCUACGGGAGGCAGCAGUGGGGGAUAUUGCACAAUGGGGGAAACCCUGAUGCAGCGACGCCGCGUGAGUGAAGAAGUAUUUCGGUAUGUAAAGCUCUAUCAGCAGGGAAGAAAAAAGACGGUACCUGACUAAGAAGCCCCGGCUAACUACGUGCCAGCAGCCGCGGUAAUACGUAGGGGGCAAGCGUUAUCCGGAUUUACUGGGUGUAAAGGGAGCGUAGACGGCAAUACAAGUCGGAAGUGAAAUACCCGGGCUCAACCUGGGAACUGCUUUGGAAACUGUAUGGCUAGAGUGCUGGAGAGGUAAGCGGAAUUCCUAGUGUAGCGGUGAAAUGCGUAGAUAUUAGGAGGAACACCAGUGGCGAAGGCGGCUUGCUGGGUCGAUACUGACAUUGAGGCACGAAAGCGUGGGGAGCAAACAGGAUUAGAUACCCGAGUAACG